Molecule: long non-coding RNA, 228 nt
Filed under: Setaria viridis
Lineage: Eukaryota; Viridiplantae; Streptophyta; Magnoliopsida; Poales; Poaceae
Description: long non-coding RNA (SVIR_LNC004230)
Source: RNAcentral
GUUCCUCAACUUUGGCCACUUGUUGAAAUCCAGAGUUUGGCCCUUCUUGAUGAAGGUGGCAUCCAACAUCUUCUUAAAUGUUUGAAAUUGUGUGGCCAUCUUUUUCAGCGUCCAGGAUUUCACAUCAUCUUCAUUACAUCCUUUGGGAAAUGGGAAAUGUUUCUUAACAUAUAACCACAACAUUUCCUUUUCUGUAUCUAGGAGCACGUAUGGAUUAGUACUUUUACC